UACGUAGGGGGCUAGCGUUGUCCGGAUUUAUUGGGCGUAAAGAGCGUGUAGGCGGCCAGGUAGGUCCGUUGUGAAAACUCGAGGCUCAACCUCGAGACGUCGGCGGAAACCCUCUGGCUAGAGUCCGGAAGAGGAGAGUAGAAUUCCUGGUGUAGCGGUGAAAUGCGCAGAUAUCAGGAAGAACACCCGUGGCGAAGGCGGCUCUCUGGGACGGUACUGACGCUGAGACGCGAAAGCGUGGGGAGCAAACAGG
RNAcentral lists this ribosomal RNA (253 nucleotides) under uncultured bacterium. RNAcentral's name for it is "partial 16S ribosomal RNA". It matches the Rfam family "Bacterial small subunit ribosomal RNA", at positions 524 to 776 of the family's 1533-position model. The record is from RNAcentral.